GAAUCUAAUAUAUCGUGCCAAAAAAAAAAGUACGAACAAACAGAAGUUUAGUACUGAUUUUCAGUUAGCAUAUUUACAUGAUUGUGUUUUGCGAACGUAAUAAUUAAUAUAAUUUUGUUGCCGUACAUAACAGGUAAAUCUAAAUUCGUCAUUAAACAACAAUAUAUAUAUAUAUUUCAAUUCGCAACAAGGCUAUUAUAACAUCGUUGAUAUAAGCUCUGUUGCAACAACCAAUUGCAGGAGACAAAGAGCGAUCCUAAUCGACCUCAACGGUUUGUGUCAGCGUAAUCAAAAUGCUGAAGUACGUCUGUGUGCUGGUCUUGCUGGGCUCACUUACCGUGCAUUCGAGUCCGGUGCAUCCUGAAGGCCAACAGCCUCUCGUCAAUGAAGAAAUCAUUACGGACAAUAACGAUGAAGUCGAACUAACCGUUCCACCAUCAGCGCCGGUGGUUCAAACCAGAGAAAAGAGGUUCGUCUACCGAUACCAAUGCCCUAUUGGCUACCACAGAACAGAUUUUUUUGGUAUUUAUCUUUGUGUAGAAGAAGACAAUUUAUUCUAAUGGCUUAUUUAAGUAUCGCAAAGAAUGUUUAGUAAGCUGGAUGUAUGGAGGUUAGAGUUAAGGAGGUAAUCAUUAUUUAUGGGAGAAAAGUUAAAAAAGUCUCCAAAUGUGUGCUAUAAAUAAAAGUUCAAAAACCACUGAAUGUAGCAGUGCGUGUGCGCUUGUUUUGCAAUGUUUGUCUUAAGCCUUCGUCAAACAGAAUGCGUAUUAGCGCGCGUCAGAGCGCUAAACUGACGCCGCGCUAUGACGCCGAGAUGUGUUGUAGUACUAUGGUAACAUACCGUCAAACAGAGCCCCAGCGCUAUAAGUACGCAACGAGCUGUCGCGGCGUUAGGACGCUUUGACGUCAGACGUUGUAAUUUUUUACAAAUUUUAUUUUAGCGUCCGAGUGUAUUAAAAUACUAGAUAAUGCCCGAAAAAAUGAUAUAAAUAGUUAGAAAAUACCCAUGCUUAUACAAUGCCACAUCUGAAUCACUCGAUUUCUUAACACUUUUAAAUUUUCACACUGCUAUCGAAAGGCACUAUGAUUUGGCGAAUGCGUUGCGUCAAGGAGCGUUAUAUCUGGUCAAUUUGAAGAGCGCGACGUUAAGUACGCGGCGCUAAGUACGCGUUCUGUUUGACGAAGGAUUUAAUGUUAACAAUAACUAUUAAAACUUCUAGAACGAUUACUCAUGAACAUUAAAGUUAUUUGUAAUUUUUUAAAGGUCCGCUUUAUUUGGUAUUAGCAUCAAUAAUUCGAUGUUUUUAAUUGAACUUUCAAUUAUGUUUAUCCCAUUCAAAUAUCUGAAGAAGUUUUCCGAUCAUCAGUACGUAUAUAUGUAUGUGUACAUAUAUGUAUGUGUAUUUCACUGGAUUGGUACACCGCGCGUAGUUCGUUUCCAAAUGAUUCUUGUCCACCUGAUGGUUGUCUGGAAGAGAUCGCUCUUAGCGAUACGGCCAAUUGUACUUUUUUGUUUUAAUGUAUCGCACUGUUUAUUUGGUUUUUGGUGUACAUUAAAGAAUACUCUCUCUCUCUCUAUAUAUAUAUAUAUAUAUAUUUUAGAUAUUUUUAACAUUAAAUGAUUCUCCUGCAAAGUUACAAAGUUGCUUAAGCCAAAUAACCUGUCGAUAAUAUAUUUUAUUUGUAUAAUGCUGUGUUUUCAAAUUGUAAUACUAUAAUUAGUUGCUAUAUUUUGUUUCCUGGUAACUUGAAAUGAGAUGUGACAAAACAAACACUAUAUAUAUAUAUAUCUCAGUAGCGGUGCCAGCGAUUCCAAACACAGAUUGAAUUUGUAUGUGAUUUUAAAUUGUAUGUUUGUUUGCUUAAAUUAAUGCAAAAUAAAAUUUUAAUGCAAAAGUU
Long non-coding RNA from Bombyx mori (domestic silkworm), 1899 nucleotides. RefSeq lists it as uncharacterized. The record is from RefSeq and is a predicted model, not a curated record. Lineage: Eukaryota; Metazoa; Arthropoda; Insecta; Lepidoptera; Bombycidae. The transcript is spliced from 2 exons.